AGUGAACGCUGGCGGUAGGCCUAACACAUGCAAGUCGAACGGCAGCACAGUAAGAGCUUGCUCUUACGGGUGGCGAGUGGCGGACGGGUGAGGAAUACAUCGGAAUCUACUUUUUCGUGGGGGAUAACGUAGGGAAACUUACGCUAAUACCGCAUACGACCUACGGGUGAAAGCAGGGGAUCUUCGGACCUUGCGCGAUUGAAUGAGCCGAUGUCGGUUUAGCUAGUUGGCGGGGUAAAGGCCCACCAAGGCGACGAUCCGUAGCCGGUCUGAGAGGAUGAUAAGCCACACUGGAACUGAGACACGGUCCAGACUCCUACGGGAGGCAGCAGUGGGGAAUAUUGGACAAUGGGCGCAAGCCUGAUCCAGCCAUACCGCGUGGGUGAAGAAGGCCUUCGGGUUGUAAAGCCCUUUUGUUGGGAAAGAAAAGCAGCAGGUUAAUACCCCGCUGUUCUGACGGUACCCAAAGAAUAAGCACCGGCUAACUUCGUG
This 492-nucleotide ribosomal RNA is filed under the name uncultured bacterium. Its description in RNAcentral is "partial 16S ribosomal RNA". It matches the Rfam family "Bacterial small subunit ribosomal RNA", at positions 29 to 507 of the family's 1533-position model. The record is from RNAcentral.